GACGAACGCUGGCGGCGUGCUUAACACAUGCAAGUCGAACGGAAAGGCCCUGCUUUUGUGGGGUGCUCGAGUGGCGAACGGGUGAGUAACACGUGAGUAACCUGCCCUUGACUUUGGGAUAACUUCAGGAAACUGGGGCUAAUACCGGAUAGGAGCUCCUGCUGCAUGGUGGGGGUUGGAAAGUUUCGGCGGUUGGGGAUGGACUCGCGGCUUAUCAGCUUGUUGGUGGGGUAGUGGCUUACCAAGGCUUUGACGGGUAGCCGGCCUGAGAGGGUGACCGGCCACAUUGGGACUGAGAUACGGCCCAGACUCCUACGGGAGGCAGCAGUGGGGAAUAUUGCAAAAAGGGCGGAAGCCUGAUGCAGCAACGCCGCGUGCGGGAUGACGGCCUUCGGGUUGUAAACCGCUUUCGCCUGUGACGAAGCGUGAGUGACGGUAAUGGGUAAAGAAGCACCGGCUAACUACGUG
Molecule: ribosomal RNA, 468 nt
Filed under: uncultured bacterium
Lineage: Bacteria
Description: partial 16S ribosomal RNA
Rfam family: Bacterial small subunit ribosomal RNA
Source: RNAcentral